This 253-nucleotide ribosomal RNA is filed under the name uncultured bacterium. RNAcentral's name for it is "partial 16S ribosomal RNA". It matches the Rfam family "Bacterial small subunit ribosomal RNA", at positions 524 to 776 of the family's 1533-position model. The record is from RNAcentral.
UACAGAGGGUGCAAGCGUUGUUCGGAAUUAUUGGGCGUAAAGCGCGUGUAGGCGGCGUGAUAAGUCGGGUGUGAAAGCCCUCAGCUCAACUGAGGAAGUGCGCCCGAAACUGUUAUGCUUGAGUGCCAGAGAGGAUGGCGGAAUUCCCGAAGUAGAGGUGAAAUUCGUAGAUAUCGGGAGGAACACCGGUGGCGAAGGCGGCCAUCUGGCUGGUAACUGACGCUGAGACGCGAAAGCGUGGGUAGCAAACAGG